Molecule: long non-coding RNA, 666 nt
Filed under: Mytilus galloprovincialis (Mediterranean mussel)
Lineage: Eukaryota; Metazoa; Mollusca; Bivalvia; Mytilida; Mytilidae
Source: RNAcentral
GGCAGGUAUCUAGUCUAUUCUUAGGCAAUUACAUAACAUCUAUUUUUAGCUUAGUAGGAAUAGUGCCCUAGAGGGGGGUUAGAGUAUUGUUGAUGAAUUGAGAGGAAGCAUCGUUGUAUUUGAUGCAUUACAAUCAGUUAUUAUUUACUAUUUUCGAACCAUAUUCGAAAUUGUUUUUUUUUUUUUUUUUUUGUUAACGGAUAUUGACAUGGAUAUACGUUUCUUUGGAAUAGUGAUUGGAUAUUGUUCAUUUGAUUGAGUAAUUAUUAUCACUUCAAUAUCACUUUCCAAGUGCGUGCUAUGGGUACGCGCCCAGGUAAACACAGAUAAUCGUAUUAUGAUCUUUAAUAUUUCGAAACUGGAUUAACUCUUCUUUGUAGAGUUGAGAACAAGAACAUAGAUGUCCAGCUCACGCUAUGAGAUGACUGAUUGACCUUAUUUCGAUAUCGAGACAUUCGGCCAUGACAGCAUUUUCAAGUGCGCGAUCCCACAAUGCAACGCAUAUAUGUAAACAAUAACAAUAAUUGGAAUAGAACCACGAUUGAGUAGACUAAGUGUGUAAACGUUCGUUCAAUAUUUAAUACACAUCUUGAUUAAUAAAUAAUGUUUGUCAGCAUUUUCCAAAAUGUCAGUAUCAUUACAAGUUUCCCGUACUUUAUGCCCGCC